AAAUUGAAGAGUUUGAUCAUGGCUCAGAUUGAACGCUGGCGGCAGGCCUAACACAUGCAAGUCGAACGGUAACAGGAAGCAGCUUGCUGCUUCGCUGACGAGUGGCGGACGGGUGAGUAAUGUCUGGGAAACUGCCUGAUGGAGGGGGAUAACUACUGGAAACGGUGGCUAAUACCGCAUAACGUCGCAAGACCAAAGAGGGGGACCUUCGGGCCUCUUGCCAUCAGAUGUGCCCAGAUGGGAUUAGCUAGUUGGUGAGGUAACGGCUCACCAAGGCGACGAUCCCUAGCUGGUCUGAGAGGAUGACCAGCCACACUGGAACUGAGACACGGUCCAGACUCCUACGGGAGGCAGCAGUGGGGAAUAUUGCACAAUGGGCGCAAGCCUGAUGCAGCCAUGCCGCGUGUAUGAAGAAGGCCUUCGGGUUGUAAAGUACUUUCAGCGGGGAGGAAGGUGUUGUGGUUAAUAACCGCAGCAAUUGACGUUACCCGCAGAAGAAGCACCGGCUAACUCCGUGCCAGCAGCCGCGGUAAUACGGAGGGUGCAAGCGUUAAUCGGAAUUACUGGGCGUAAAGCGCACGCAGGCGGUCUGUCAAGUCGGAUGUGAAAUCCCCGGGCUCAACCUGGGAACUGCAUUCGAAACUGGCAGGCUUGAGUCUUGUAGAGGGGGGUAGAAUUCCAGGUGUAGCGGUGAAAUGCGUAGAGAUCUGGAGGAAUACCGGUGGCGAAGGCGGCCCCCUGGACAAAGACUGACGCUCAGGUGCGAAAGCGUGGGGAGCAAACAGGAUUAGAUACCCUGGUAGUCCACGCCGUAAACGAUGUCUACUUGGAGGUUGUGCCCUUGAGGCGUGGCUUCCGGAGCUAACGCGUUAAGUAGACCGCCUGGGGAGUACGGCCGCAAGGUUAAAACUCAAAUGAAUUGACGGGGGCCCGCACAAGCGGUGGAGCAUGUGGUUUAAUUCGAUGCAACGCGAAGAACCUUACCUGGUCUUGACAUCCACGGAAGUUUUCAGAGAUGAGAAUGUGCCUUCGGGAACCGUGAGACAGGUGCUGCAUGGCUGUCGUCAGCUCGUGUUGUGAAAUGUUGGGUUAAGUCCCGCAACGAGCGCAACCCUUAUCCUUUGUUGCCAGCGGUUAGGCCGGGAACUCAAAGGAGACUGCCAGUGAUAAACUGGAGGAAGGUGGGGAUGACGUCAAGUCAUCAUGGCCCUUACGACCAGGGCUACACACGUGCUACAAUGGCGCAUACAAAGAGAAGCGACCUCGCGAGAGCAAGCGGACCUCAUAAAGUGCGUCGUAGUCCGGAUUGGAGUCUGCAACUCGACUCCAUGAAGUCGGAAUCGCUAGUAAUCGUGGAUCAGAAUGCCACGGUGAAUACGUUCCCGGGCCUUGUACACACCGCCCGUCACACCAUGGGAGUGGGUUGCAAAAGAAGUAGGUAGCUUAACCUUCGGGAGGGCGCUUACCACUUUGUGAUUCAUGACUGGGGUGAAGUCGUAACAAGGUAACCGUAGGGGAACCUGCGGUUGGAUCACCUCCUUACCUGAAAGAAGC
This 1554-nucleotide ribosomal RNA is filed under the name Salmonella enterica subsp. enterica serovar Goldcoast. Its description in RNAcentral is "bacterial SSU rRNA". It matches the Rfam family "Bacterial small subunit ribosomal RNA". Lineage: Bacteria; Pseudomonadati; Pseudomonadota; Gammaproteobacteria; Enterobacterales; Enterobacteriaceae. The record is from RNAcentral. RNAcentral also lists the same sequence under 22 other names.